Molecule: ribosomal RNA, 446 nt
Filed under: uncultured bacterium
Lineage: Bacteria
Description: bacterial SSU rRNA
Rfam family: Bacterial small subunit ribosomal RNA
Source: RNAcentral
GCCAGACUCCUACGGGAGGCAGCAGUGGGGGAUAUUGCACAAUGGGGGAAACCCUGAUGCAGCGACGCCGCGUGGGUGAAGAAGUGCCUCGGCGCGUAAAGCCCUGUCAGCAGGGAAGAAAAUGACGGUACCUGAAGAAGAAGCCCCGGCUAACUACGUGCCAGCAGCCGCGGUAAUACGUAGGGGGCAAGCGUUAUCCAGAUUUACUGGGUGUAAAGGGGGCGCAGACGGCGAUGCAAGCCAGGAGUGAAAGCCCGGGGCCCAACCCCGGGACUGCUCUUGGAACUGCGUGGCUGGAGUGCAGGAGGGGCAGGCGGAAUUCCUAGUGUAGCGGUGAAAUGCGUAGAUAUUAGGAGGAACACCAGUGGCGAAGGCGGCUUACUGGACUGUAACUGACGUUGAGGCUCGAAAGCGUGGGGAGCAAACAGGAUUAGAUACCCUUGUAU